UACGUAGGGUGCGAGCGUUGUCCGGAAUUAUUGGGCGUAAAGGGCUCGUAGGCGGUCUGUCACGUCGGGAGUGAAAACUCGGGGCUUAACCCCGAGCCUGCUUCCGAUACGGGCAGACUAGAGGUAUGCAGGGGAGAACGGAAUUCCUGGUGUAGCGGUGAAAUGCGCAGAUAUCAGGAGGAACACCGGUGGCGAAGGCGGUUCUCUGGGCAUUACCUGACGCUGAGGAGCGAAAGUGUGGGGAGCGAACAGG
This 253-nucleotide ribosomal RNA is filed under the name uncultured bacterium. RNAcentral's name for it is "partial 16S ribosomal RNA". It matches the Rfam family "Bacterial small subunit ribosomal RNA", at positions 524 to 776 of the family's 1533-position model. The record is from RNAcentral.